CACUAAGUGCUUAUAGAGUUCACCAAUUGACAUGUUGGCAAGACUGAUCACACUGAUUGGCAGACAGAGCCCUCGUUUCCUAAGGAGAAGAUACCAUUCUGAUUACUUGAUUUGGAGACACACCAUGAACAAAUAAAGCUUGCAGAAUUGUUUUUA
Peromyscus eremicus (cactus mouse) is the source of this 156-nucleotide long non-coding RNA. RefSeq lists it as uncharacterized. The record is from RefSeq and is a predicted model, not a curated record. NCBI's taxonomy places the organism in Eukaryota, Metazoa, Chordata, Mammalia, Rodentia, Cricetidae. The transcript has 2 exons.